AUGCUUUCAUUUCUCAAUGCUACUUUAGUCGGAGCCUUGAACCUACUCUUCUCUGAUUCUGCAGUUAUUGUUUAUUGUGUGCUGAUUAUACACCAGGCAUGCAUCAUUCAUCAAGUGCUUUGUGUGCAUUUUCCUUUUCAGUUCUCAAACAUCCUAAUAUGCUCCCCACUUUAUUGGAGAGGAAACCAAGACUUAUUGAAGUUAAGUGACUUGUCUCAACUUACAGAACAUAAGGGGUGGAUCCCAUGUCGAGCUCACUCCAACAUUCUUCUUCUUUACUAGCACUUUGGGGGCCAAAGUGGGAGUGGGAGGAUCCCUUGAGGCCAGGAGUUCGAGGUUACCGUGAGGUGUGAUGCAUUCCAGCCUAGGCAACAGAGUGAGACCUUAUCCUUCAAAAAAAAAAAAAAAAAAAAGAGAGAGAGAGAGAGAGAAAGAAAAAGAGGUUUAGGAGUUAGUAUUUGCAGACUUUGUCUUUCAUCCAUUCCAUUUUGUAAAUGUGAAAACAAGAUCUAAAAUACAAGUAAUUUGUUCAAGGUGCCACAGAUAGUAAAUAACAAGAACUAGGUUUCUGGCCUCCUUGUAUACUCCUUUCAAUCAGAGAAUGUAGAUUCGAAUUGACAUUUCUGGCAGAGCAUGGUGGCUCAUGCCUGUAAUCCUAGCAUUUUGGGAGGAUGAGGCAGGAGGACCCCUUGAGCCCAGGAGUUUGAGACCAGCAUGGGCAACACAGGGAGACCCUGUCUCUAUAAAAUAAUAAUAGUAAUAAAAUCAAAAAUUAAAAAAUUCACAUCUCUCCCCUGUCUGUUUGGUUGGGAGAAAACUAGUGGAGAAGACAGAUAUGUAACUAGACAAAUGCAUCAGAUUGUGGCUGGGACAUAACAGCAUACUAUGGAACCAAUGAAAGCUAACACAUGGGAUAUGUUAUGAGAGGCUUCAUAGAGGAGGUGGCAUUGGGUUAGACCUUGUAUACGAUUUUAAAAGCCAGAGUGGGCAGGGCAUUCCAGAGUAAAGGAACAGUUGAAACCAAAGCAGGGAGGCUUAUAAGAACAGCUUGUGGCCGGGCAUGGUGGCUCACACCUGUAAUCCUAGCAAUUUGAGAGGCUGAGACAGGCGGAUCACUUGAGCCCAGGAGUUCCAGAUCAGCCUGGGCAACAUGGCAAAAUCCCAUCUCUACAAAAAACACAAAAAUUAGCUGGGCAUGGUGGCAUGUGCUUGUAGUCCCAGCUACUCAGGAGGCUAAGGUGGGAGGGUCACACGAGUCCAGGAGUUCGAGUAUACGGUGAGUAGUGAUUGCACCAGAAUAGCUUGUCUGAGGAACAACUGCUGCAAAGUUUGGUCCCCACAUCAGCAAAUCCUCCACGUCCCUGGGAACAUAUAUAGAGACCUUCACUCCAUUCACUCAAUCUUCAAUGAUACAUUCAUUCAACAUUUUGUCAAUAAUAGAGAGAGAAUGGUAUGGUAUGGUAAGAAAGUUCUGGUUUCCAAUCCCAGCUUUGUCACUAACUCACUGUGUGGGGCCUUGAGCAAAUCUCUUCCUCUCUGGGCGUCAGUUUCCCAUCUGUCAAACGGAAGAAUGGAUUUAUGAUCUUUAUACUCUCUUGGUGCUCACUGCAUUUGUGACAUUUACAGAUGGAGAACAGGACAAAAGUUGUCAAAGUACCCCUGACUCCCAUCCUUUCUUCUUCUUUUUUAAUUUUUUUAUUAUACUUUAAGUUCUAGGGUACAUUUGCACAAUGUGCAGGUUUGUUACAUAGGUAUACAUGUGCCAUGUUGGUUUGCUGCACCCAUCAACUCGUCAUUUACAUUAGGUGUUUCUCCUAAUGCUAUCCCUCCCCCAGUCCCGCAUCCCUGGCCAUCCUUUCUUAUUUUAGAGUAAGGAUUGAAAAUAACAUCUGUGGCCGGGCGUGGUGGCUCAAGCCUGUAAUCUCAGCAAUUUGGGAGGCCGAGAUGGGCGGAUCACGAGGUCAGGAGAUCGAGACCAUCCUGGCUAACACGGUGAAACCCUGUCUUCACUAAAAAAUACAAAAAACUAGCCGGGCGAGGUGGGGGGCGCCUGAA
This 2055-nucleotide long non-coding RNA is filed under the name Papio anubis (olive baboon). RNAcentral's name for it is "lncRNA (ENSPANG00000041042.1)". Lineage: Eukaryota; Metazoa; Chordata; Mammalia; Primates; Cercopithecidae. The record is from RNAcentral.